This 439-nucleotide ribosomal RNA is filed under the name uncultured bacterium. RNAcentral describes it as "partial 16S ribosomal RNA". It matches the Rfam family "Bacterial small subunit ribosomal RNA", at positions 339 to 795 of the family's 1533-position model. The record is from RNAcentral.
CUACGGGAGGCACCAGUGAGGAAUAUUGCACAAUGGGGGGAACCCUGAUGCAACAACGCCGCGCGGAGGAUGACGCAUUUCGGUGUGUAAACUCCUUUUAUAUGUCAAGAAAAUGACGGUAGCAUAUGAAUAAGCACCGGCUAACUCCGUGCCAGCAGCCGCGGUAAUACGGAGGGUGCAAGCGUUACUCGGAAUCACUGGGCGUAAAGGACGCGUAGGCGGGUUGGAAAGUCAGGUGUGAAAUCCUACAGCUUAACUGUAGAACUGCACUUGAAACUUCUAAUCUAGAGUAUGGGAGGGGGAGAUGGAAUUAGUGGUGUAGGGGUAAAAUCCGUAGAUAUCACUAGGAAUACCUAAAGCGAAGGCGAUCUCCUGGAACAUUACUGACGCUAAGGCGUGAAAGCGUGGGGAGCAAACAGGAUUAGAUACCCUCGUAGUC